Molecule: ribosomal RNA, 253 nt
Filed under: uncultured bacterium
Lineage: Bacteria
Description: partial 16S ribosomal RNA
Rfam family: Bacterial small subunit ribosomal RNA
Source: RNAcentral
GACGGAAGGUGCAAGCGUCGCUCGGAAUCACUGGGCGUAAAGGGUGCGUAGGCGGGUCUUUAAGUCAGGGGUGAAAUCCUGGAGCUCAACUCCAGAACUGCCUUUGAUACUGAAGAUCUUGAGUUCGGGAGAGGUGAGUGGAACUGCGAGUGUAGAGGUGAAAUUCGUAGAUAUUCGCAAGAACACCAGUGGCGAAGGCGGCUCACUGGCCCGAUACUGACGCUGAGGCACGAAAGCGUGGGGAGCAAACAGG